Molecule: non-coding RNA, 507 nt
Organism: Paramuricea clavata
Lineage: Eukaryota; Metazoa; Cnidaria; Anthozoa; Malacalcyonacea; Plexauridae
Source: the annotation of a GenBank genome assembly
UAGCAAUUGUUUGUAAACCGUGAGUUCGUUCGCAGAGGUUUUGCUAGAUGGUCGGAGACGUGAGAGGUCAUAUGAGGACAGGUGAAGGAUUUCAUUGGAUAUGCAGGGAACAUGCAGAUAAUUUCUUGAGCUAAGUCACAGAUUUCUUGCCGCGUUUAUAGACACAAUUUCUUUCUGAGACAAAAAUGUUUCUCAGCAGAUUCAGAGUGGUGUAACCUCACUUUAUUAUUGAUUAUUGAAAACCGGUUGCCCGGUAUAAAAUCACUUGCCAUCAGGUCUAGUGUUGCCCUCACAUAUUAGCAAAAUUUGAAGCAAAUUAUUGCAGUAAGGAUGUAAUAUAUGAACAACGAGAACGAGUGUUUCACCGGGAUAUCCAAACACGAGAAAACAAUGUACGAAAACACGAGCGCGAAGCGCGAGUGUUUUCAUACAUUGUUUUCGAGUGUUUGGAUAUCCCGGUGAGACACGAGCUCGAGUUGUUUAUAUGGCUUCUCAAAUGAAUCGAGA